This 487-nucleotide ribosomal RNA is filed under the name uncultured bacterium. RNAcentral describes it as "bacterial SSU rRNA". It matches the Rfam family "Bacterial small subunit ribosomal RNA", at positions 28 to 513 of the family's 1533-position model. The record is from RNAcentral.
GAUGAACGCUAGCGGCAGGCCUAAUACAUGCAAGUCGAGGGGCAGCGCGGUAGCAAUACUGGCGGCGACCGGCGCACGGGUGCGUAACACGUAUGCAACCUACCUUCAACUGGAGGAUAGCCCGGGGAAACUCGGAUUAAUACUCCAUAACACAGGGAUCCCGCAUGGGAAUAUUGUUAAAGCUACGGCGGUUGAAGAUGGGCAUGCGUUCGAUUAGCUAGUUGGUGUAGGUAACGGCUCACCAAGGCUACGAUCGAUAGGGGGUCUGAGAGGAUGAUCCCCCACACUGGUACUGAGAUACGGACCAGACUCCUACGGGAGCAGCAGUAGGGAAUAUUGGUCAAUGGGCGCAAAGCCUGAACCAGCCAUGCCGCGUGCAGGAAGAAGGCCCUCUGGGUUGUAAACUGCUUUGAUAGGGAACAAAUGCCACUUGCGAGUGGAGCUGAGUGUACCUAUAGAAUAAGCACCGGCUAACUCCGUGCCAGCA